AUUGACCUCAGAUCAGACAAGAUUACCCGCCGAAUUUAAGCAUAUUACUAAGCGGAGGAAAAGAAACUAACAAGGAUUCCCCUAGUAACGGCGAGCGAACCGGGAAGAGCCCAACUUGAAAAUCUGGCAGCUUCGCUGUCCGAAUUGUAGUCUAAAGAAGCGUCCUCUGUAGCGGACCGGGCCCAAGUUCCCUGGAA
This 197-nucleotide ribosomal RNA is filed under the name Interfilum sp. SAG 36.88. RNAcentral describes it as "partial 26S ribosomal RNA". It matches the Rfam family "Eukaryotic large subunit ribosomal RNA", at positions 1 to 195 of the family's 3401-position model. Lineage: Eukaryota; Viridiplantae; Streptophyta; Klebsormidiophyceae; Klebsormidiales; Klebsormidiaceae. The record is from RNAcentral.